RNAcentral lists this long non-coding RNA (748 nucleotides) under Olea europaea subsp. europaea. Lineage: Eukaryota; Viridiplantae; Streptophyta; Magnoliopsida; Lamiales; Oleaceae. The record is from RNAcentral.
CUCUUUAUGAUGCUCAGUAGUGAUAUUCAACAAUAUUUUUAUCUUUGAGUUGAAUAUCUCUGAGAUCUAUGUUGCUCUAGUAUUUAUGUCUUCAGAUUCUUCCUUAAGAAAAUCUGUCCUUUUUUGUAUAUGUAGGAUAUAUUGGUAUAAAUCGAAAAAUGACCAGUCAGAGACGGAUCGAUCUUUAUGUUUCUGGAUGGACGAUUACGCAUUCUUCGCGGAGGUUGGGUCUUCCGUUUCUUCACAAGGAUAGCAGGGUAGUUGUUCAGUACCUGAUCAAAGUGAACUACGUUAUGACUUGAUCUCCUUUACGGGGUACGUAAGCAGCUUGGUUCCAUGACUCUGGCUUUAUCUAUCAGUAAAUUCUAUGUUUCUGCUGAGAAAAUCUGCAAGAAAAUUAUUAACUCGUUUAAUAUGAACUAUAUCAAAAUUGUAAAAUACUAAAUAAGCUUGCCAUCUAUGGAGCCUUCUGUAUUGACGUUCUGAUGGUUGUUUAUUCUCGACUAAUCCUGCAACUUGAGAAAUAUCUGUUUCAACAAUAAAUUUUUUAGAUAACAAAAAUAAUGAGAACUUUUUUAUUCCUCUAAUAAUUGCUAGUGAUUCUUUUUCAUGAAUAGUAUAAUUUAUUUCUGUUUGAUUAAAAAUUUCACUUGAGUAUCUACAAAUCUCAUUAAAAUCUGUUUUUAAUAUUGCCGCCCAAUAUUUAUCUAAGGCAUCAGUGUUAACAGUCAAAUUAUCUUUUUCAUCU